This 752-nucleotide long non-coding RNA is filed under the name Mustela putorius furo (domestic ferret). RNAcentral describes it as "lncRNA (ENSMPUG00000024215.1)". The record is from RNAcentral. Lineage: Eukaryota; Metazoa; Chordata; Mammalia; Carnivora; Mustelidae.
GGAGCCUAACACUGGGCUUGACCUCAAGACGCUGAGAUCAUGACUUGAAAUGGAAUCAAGAGUCAGGCACUAAACUGACAGAGCCACCCACGUGCCUGGUAAGGUGUAUAGACGUGGGUAUAAAUGUACUCUUGGAUAAGAAUGCACACACCUGGAAAUUCAAAUUUGUGGGGUAAGACUCAAGAGAGGAACUUGGAGGGACCAGGAGCCGCAUCAGGAAGGGGCUUCUUUUAAGGAACUCCCUCAUUACACUUUAUAAUCCAAAGGAGAUUUUAUAACUCAGUCAACAUAGAAACUGACUUGUUUUUACCCCAGGUAAACAUAUCUAUCUCCCAUUGAUAUCAAAUCCAAAAUAUCACCUAUAUUUUGUUCAGAGGUCUCCAUCAAAUGACUAGUUAAAAGUGAAAUUAUCAGUUCUUGGCAAGAGUGAAGAUAAGUUAUUUAAUAAAUUUUAAUAAGCCAAGUAGAUUUUAAUACAUUCUUUUUUCUGUCUUUCCUUCUGUUCCUUCUGUUUGUUGUUGUUGUUGUUGUUUUACUUUUAAUUAAUAAAACCAGUCCACAGGCAUACACAAGAAUGUAAAUGUCCAGGAGUAUUUAGUGUUACCAUUGUUUUCCUGAAUGCAACUUACAUGUUACAGGUUAUUACCACUCCCAAAUUAUUAAUUUUAGGCCUCAAUCUAUAGAAGUAUAAUACAGAUCUUUCCCCUUCUUUAGUGUAAAAUGAUGAUGAUACUCUUUCACAUAGGAACAAG